GAUGAACGCUGGCGGCGUGCCUAAUACAUGCAAGUCGAGCGAACAGACGAGGAGCUUGCUCCUCUGACGUUAGCGGCGGACGGGUGAGUAACACGUGGAUAACCUACCUAUAAGACUGGGAUAACUUCGGGAAACCGGAGCUAAUACCGGGUAAUAUAUUGAACCGCAUGGUUCAAUAGUGAAAGACGGUUUUGCUGUCACUUAUAGAUGGAUCCGCGCCGCAUUAGCUAGUUGGUAAGGUAACGGCUUACCAAGGCAACGAUGCGUAGCCGACCUGAGAGGGUGAUCGGCCACUCGUGAGCUGAGACACGGUCCAGACUCUUACGGGAGGCAGCAGUAGGGAUUCUGCCGCAAUGGGCGAAAGCCUGACGGAGCAACGCCGCGUGAGUGAUGAAGGCCUUCGGAUCGUAAAACUCUGUUAUUAGGGAAGAACAAAUGUGUAAGUAACUAUGCACGUCUGGACGGUACCUAAGCAGAAAGCCACGGCUAACUACGU
Molecule: ribosomal RNA, 496 nt
Filed under: uncultured bacterium
Lineage: Bacteria
Description: partial 16S ribosomal RNA
Rfam family: Bacterial small subunit ribosomal RNA
Source: RNAcentral